GAAAGCGUGUAACUUUGGCCUAAUAAUGAACUUUUCAUGGCGAAGAAGAAAUACACGAACUAACUGGCCACUUCAGAGACUGUGUUGUGUCUGUGUGUCGGUGUGACUGUGGGAGCCGAGGGAGCAGAGGUGUCGGUGACACAGGGAGAGGAAUGGAGAGAGAGACGAUAGAUACGGAGGGAGCGAGAUGCACUAUCACAAUUGAGGAAUCUCCUGUGGCUUCAGUGUGUCUCCAUGGAAACACUUCCAUCAAAAGCUGAAGGGACUGUUCAGGUUAAAGGGCUUUGUUGAUGUAAAUACAUUUUAAUCCCCAUUUCUCAUAAAACGAAGAGGACAAAUCCGCUCAUAUGUAAAAGAGGAACUGUUUGAUACAUAUGAAAAAUAGUCAAGAUUUGAUCUAUUUAAUAUGUUCCAGAAUCCAGAAUCAUGAGCUUGCUCUUCCCAGUUUGAAGACCAAGUAUAUAUUAAUUAUAUUACAUUUUUUUUCAGAUUUUUAUUUUAUUUUAUUUUUUGUUAAGAAUGUUUCAUGGCUAUGCUUUUUUAGAGGUAAUUUUGGUAUCCUUUUUGUGUACACAAAUAAAUUAGGAAUGUGAACUAGUUAACUAGCUUUUAUUCUUUUCCUCUUUCAGGCUGUCAGUAUCGGUUCUGUUUGCUCCAAGCCAAGUCAGAGUGAAAACCCUGUUAUGCUAGAGAGAGAGGGAAGGAAACGUUCAAGAUUCUGGAUGAGGGACAGAGCGGAUGGAGAAGGGGAAAGGCUGGAUACAAAGGGAGAGAGAGGGAGCAUCCCUCCUGCUGUACCCACCUGCCCCCCUGCAUAUGCCAGAAAAAUGAGAAUAGAUUGGCCCAUCCGUGGAUGGUGCCAGGUGGCAUUUAGACCCCCAAGAAGAUAUGUGUGCAGUCUAUCUACCUCACAGUGACAGACGUUGGGCCUGGAGAGAGAGGAAAAGAAAAAAGGAAGCAAGUCGGAAAGGAUAGUAACGGAGGAGGGGGAAAGCAGAAAAACCCUAGUAGGUUCAAGUAAAUGUGUUGUCCUGCUAAAGGCACGCUUGUUUUCUUGUCAUUAUCUCAAGCUGCUGUUGCACAGCGAGCCAGAUGUACAUGUGGGAGUACGCAAACGGGCUAGUGACAAUAGGAAUGCCCCUUUUUGCAUUGCCAUGUAAUCUUAGCCUUUUCCUUGUUUUGAAACCGUACUUGAGCUGGAUUUGAAAUCCUGUUAUAUGGAUUAGUGAACACUUAAACAUUAUGGAAAUUAAAAAUCAGGGAGCACAGAUGUGAUUUUGCAACACACAUGCCUAAAGGAAUGUUUUUAUGAUUUAAUACAAGUUAAGUUCAAUCAAGAGCAUCUGUGGUAUAAUGUUCAUUACCACAAAAAACAGUUUCAACAUCACUUUCUUUAUUAAGAAUUUCGGGUUAAAUUAAGAAUAUUUCAGGUUAAGUUCAGUCAACAGCAUACAUGGUAUAAUGUUAGUUAUCACAAAAAAUUGAUUCUGCUCAAACGUUUUCUUUUUUUUUAAACCAAAAAUCAAGGCUACAUUGAGGUACGUAUAAUCAAAGUAAAUGGCACCAGUAAUUUAGAGGAUUUAAAAGCAGGAAUGUGAAGUAUUGCAAUUUUAUAAAACCACUUACUUUUGUUAAAACUUGAGUUUUAUUUGAGCUGCAAAACUAUUUAGAUCAUAAUUUUUACAGUGAUUUUGGAGCAUUACCUUGUCAUGGCAAUGAAGUUACAACUACAGUUGUAUAUACUGUAACUUUACAAAGAAAAGGUUAGUAAACAAUUUUUCAGAGCAUGUUGUUCAUAUCUUGUGGAUAUACUUUUGAAAGAGCAAAUAGUUUAAUGUAUUCACGUGUUAAAGAAAAGGAAAUGAAUUUUUGUGGAAAUCAACAUCAUGCCACAAUGGCUGUCACUUGUACUGUACC
Molecule: long non-coding RNA, 1917 nt
Organism: Cyprinus carpio (common carp)
Lineage: Eukaryota; Metazoa; Chordata; Actinopteri; Cypriniformes; Cyprinidae
Source: Ensembl